This 484-nucleotide ribosomal RNA is filed under the name uncultured bacterium. RNAcentral describes it as "bacterial SSU rRNA". It matches the Rfam family "Bacterial small subunit ribosomal RNA", at positions 32 to 524 of the family's 1533-position model. The record is from RNAcentral.
AAUCAACGCUGGCGGCGUGCCUCAGACAUGCAAGUCGAACGAUUAAGACUCUCUUCGGAGAGUGUAUAAAGUGGCGCACGGGUGAGUAACACGUAGGUAAUGUACCGAAGGGUGGGAAUAACUUAGGGAAACUUAAGCUAAUACCGCAUAAUGCAGCGGCUCGACAUCGAGACAGUUGUUAAAGGAGCAAUCCGCCUUUUGAGCAGCCUGCGGCAGAUUAGCUAGUUGGUAAGGUAAUGGCUUACCAAGGCUACGAUCUGUAACCGACCUGAGAGGGUGGUCGGUCACACUGACACUGAAUAACGGGUCAGACUCCAACGGGAGGCAGCAGUCGGGAAUUUUGGGCAAUGGGCGAAAGCCUGACCCAGCAACGCCGCGUGAAGGAUGAAGUAUUUCGGUAUGUAAACUUCGUAAGAAUAGGAAGAAUAAAUAGACGGUACCAUUUAUAAGCUCCGGCUAACUACGUGCCAGCAGCCGCGGUAAU